This 460-nucleotide ribosomal RNA is filed under the name uncultured bacterium. RNAcentral's name for it is "partial 16S ribosomal RNA". It matches the Rfam family "Bacterial small subunit ribosomal RNA", at positions 338 to 795 of the family's 1533-position model. The record is from RNAcentral.
CCUACGGGUGGCAGCAGUGAGGAAUAUUGGUCAAUGGACGAGAGUCUGAACCAGCCAAGUAGCGUGAAGGAUGACUGCCCUAUGGGUUGUAAACUUCUUUUAUAAAGGAAUAAAACGAGGCACGUGUGCCUUUUUGCAUGUACUUUAUGAAUAAGGAUCGGCUAACUCCGUGCCAGCAGCCGCGGUAAUACGGAGGAUCCGAGCGUUAUCCGGAUUUAUUGGGUUUAAAGGGAGCGUAGAUGGGUUGUUAAGUCAGUUGUGAAAGUUUGCGGCUCAACCGUAAAAUUGCAAUUGAUACUGGCAGUCGUGAGUACAGUUGAGGUGAGCGGAAUUCGUGGUGUAGCGGUGAAAUGCUUAGAUAUCACGAAGAACCCCGAUUGCGAAGGCAGCUUACUAAACUGUGACUGACAUUGAUGCUCGAAAGUGUGGGUAUCAAACAGGAUUAGAUACCCUUGUAGUC